This 754-nucleotide small RNA is filed under the name Pongo abelii (Sumatran orangutan). RNAcentral's name for it is "processed transcript". The record is from RNAcentral. Lineage: Eukaryota; Metazoa; Chordata; Mammalia; Primates; Hominidae.
CUCACUGUUGGACUUCAUUGACAUCACCCUGAAAAAAAGUGGAUUUUUGAGGAGCUUGAGAAGAAGAGCAUGAGAAGUGCUGAAUUACACCGUGUUGUUGCAGAUGAGCGUCACCUAACCACAGCAGUCCUUGAAGAAGAAAGAUGGUCUGAUCGAACUGCUUAUUUAGGAACACAUUGCAAAAUCUGUGGGUGUCCUUUGGGAUCUGAGGACCUCACUCCUACAACUGCAAGGAAUUGAAUUCUUCUAACACUGAGAUGAGGUUGGAAGAAGACUCCAAGAUCCAGAAAGGAACACAGUCCCACCAACACCUGUGUUGUAACCUGGUGAGACCCUGAAACAGAGAAUCCAGCUAAGCCAUGCCCAAAAUAUUCAUCCACAAUGUGUUGUUUUAAGCUUCCAAGUUUCUAGUAAUUUGUUAUAAAGCAAUAGAAAAGUAAUAUAUCCUUUCUGAGGCUCAUCUUCAUUCCAAACGUUCCACAUUUCCUUCUGUUAUCAUUUAUUUUCUGUCUGAAUUACUUCCUUUAGCAAAAAAAUUUUUAAGGCAGUUCUGCUGCACUUGAAAACUCUUAUGACACGUCCUUCUGGCCUUCAUGAUUUCUGCUGAAAAAUAUGCUGUCAUUUGAAUAGUUUUAAUGCUUGCCUUCUACAUCCCACAUGGAAGCAGAAAUGAGAUGUUUUAAAAAGAGAUGUUUCAAAAUCACCAUCUCACUCUAGUUUGUCUACAAAGCCAUCUAUCAAGAACAUUAUAUGA